AACGAACGCUGGCGGCAUGCUUAACACAUGCAAGUCGAACGAGACCUUCGGGUCUAGUGGCGCACGGGUGCGUAACGCGUGGGAAUCUGCCCUUUGCUACGGAAUAACUCAGAGAAAUUUGUGCUAAUACCGUAUAAUGUCGUAAGACCAAAGAUUUAUCGGCAAAGGAUGAGCCCGCGUAAGAUUAGCUUGUUGGUGGGGUAAAGGCCUACCAAGGCGACGAUCUUUAGCUGGUAUGAGAGGAUGAUCAGCCACACUGGGACUGAGACACGGCCCAGACUCCUACGGUAGGCAGCAGUGGGGAAUAUUGGACAAUGGGCGAAAGCCUGAUCCAGCCAUGCCGCGUGAGUGAUGAAGGCCUUAGGGUUGUAAAGCUCUUUUACCAGGGAUGAUAAUGUCAGUACCUGGAGAAUAAGCUCCGGCUAACUCCGUGCCAGCCGCCGCGGUAA
Molecule: ribosomal RNA, 449 nt
Filed under: uncultured bacterium
Lineage: Bacteria
Description: partial 16S ribosomal RNA
Rfam family: Bacterial small subunit ribosomal RNA
Source: RNAcentral